UCUUUGACUAGGUGUAUGAUCAAAGUCAG
RNAcentral lists this non-coding RNA (29 nucleotides) under Rattus norvegicus (Norway rat). The record is from RNAcentral. Lineage: Eukaryota; Metazoa; Chordata; Mammalia; Rodentia; Muridae.